Molecule: long non-coding RNA, 375 nt
Filed under: Phoenix dactylifera (date palm)
Lineage: Eukaryota; Viridiplantae; Streptophyta; Magnoliopsida; Arecales; Arecaceae
Description: long non-coding RNA (PDAC_LNC003964)
Source: RNAcentral
GGAUUUAAUGGCGAAGAUCCCUCGAUUCAUAAAAAAGGGGGAAAAUCGACGUAGAAGCCCUAGAUUCUGGGAUAGACAGAGGAGGAGAGGGGAGAAGGUAGAGUUUGGAACCGCUAGGGUUUCAUUCUCAGGGAAAGCGAGGAAAGGAGGAAGAGAGUGGAGGAGGAUGAGAAGGGGAGGGAGGGAGAGACACGAGCUCGCCUGAUUUGGCGGCUCAAAUGGCCGCCGAGAGAGCACGAGAACAAGAAGGAGAGAAGGUAGAGUUUGGAACCGCUAGGGUUUCAUUCUGAGGGAAAUAGAGGAGAGGAGGACGAGAAGGGGAGGGAGGGAGAGAGAGAGAGAGAGACACGAGCUCGCUGGAUUUGGGGGAUCGAA